Long non-coding RNA from Gorilla gorilla gorilla (western lowland gorilla), 360 nucleotides. RefSeq lists it as uncharacterized. Lineage: Eukaryota; Metazoa; Chordata; Mammalia; Primates; Hominidae. The transcript is spliced from 3 exons. The record is from RefSeq and is a predicted model, not a curated record.
CAGACGGGACAACUGGCUUAGAGAUGUUAAAUAUCCUGGAUUAUUGUCAGUUUAACAAAAUAAUUUCGGCUAUCAAAGAUCAAGUGGGAUAAAUUUCAGAGGAAGAAACUGAGCUCCUUGCAUACCAUAGAGGAGAGGCCGAGGUCCUUCCACUGCAGCACCAAGUGGGGUAUAUAAAGCCACACUGCCCAUGAGGGCUGUGGCGUGAGUCAGCUAGCCGUGAGAGACAGAUGCAUUACAAAGGGAUGGAUUUAGUGCACUCUUUCCUCUCUUACUCACAGCCUGAACAGCCAGUGAACGAUGAAACAAAACUUCUUCCCAAGCCUCAAUGAGGAUUGUGCCAUAGUUUGAAGGUAGGAG